Etheostoma spectabile (orangethroat darter) is the source of this 333-nucleotide long non-coding RNA. RefSeq lists it as uncharacterized. The record is from RefSeq and is a predicted model, not a curated record. The transcript has 3 exons. Lineage: Eukaryota; Metazoa; Chordata; Actinopteri; Perciformes; Percidae.
CCUUUGAAACGCAUAGAGGACAAAGCUCUCUUGGUGGAGGAUAUCAUCUCGUUUCAGGUGGUUUAUCGAGUCAGUGGAGCAUUUCAAAGAUUCAAGCAGGGGAUGAAGACCCUUGGUGUUCUUGAUGCAAUAAGAAAGCACCCAGAUGCUUUCAGACCACUGUUUCUGUCAAGAGCCAUCCCCAUUCACAGCUGAUGUACUAGAACAGCUCUUUGAAAUUCGACUGUCAGCAGUGGGCAGCAACAAAAGAAGGGCAGAGGGCAAUGUGUGCUUGCAUUUUGGAGGGACUACCCGCUGGAUGUUGAGGAGCAAGAGGGACCCUUAAAACUUGGG